GCACUUUCCCACCCCGACGUAGAUGGAUGCUUGUCCAAGGCGGUUGCCAAUCUCUGACAUUAUGCACAUGGAGGACUCAUAGCGAGGGAAUGCUUUCUGUAUUGAAGGGAGACAGAACUCUGCCACAGCUAAAAGGAGCCGUCUUAUUAUUGCUCCUAGUAGCGCUUACAUUCUCUGCAUGCCUCUUCAUCACAUACAUAUUACAGCAGGCCUUCCUGGCAAUCCAGGGGAUUUACUCUCUUCAAAUCUCUGGUGUCAAGGUGGAAAAAUGCGACGCACUAG
Rhinichthys klamathensis goyatoka is the source of this 282-nucleotide long non-coding RNA. RefSeq lists it as uncharacterized. The record is from RefSeq and is a predicted model, not a curated record. The transcript has 3 exons. Lineage: Eukaryota; Metazoa; Chordata; Actinopteri; Cypriniformes; Leuciscidae.